AGAGGAGUGGUGUAACGGUCAGCACGCAGGGUUCUAACCCCUGAGCAGGUGACACCCUGCGUCGGUCUGGGUUCGAGUCCCGGCUCCUCCGCCA
Molecule: transfer RNA, 94 nt
Filed under: Caudoviricetes sp.
Lineage: Duplodnaviria; Heunggongvirae; Uroviricota; Caudoviricetes
Description: tRNA-OTHER
Rfam family: tRNA
About the family: Transfer RNA (tRNA) molecules are approximately 80 nucleotides in length. Their secondary structure includes four short double-helical elements and three loops (D, anti-codon, and T loops). Further hydrogen bonds mediate the characteristic L-shaped molecular structure. tRNAs have two regions of fundamental functional importance: the anti-codon, which is responsible for specific mRNA codon recognition, and the 3' end, to which the tRNAs corresponding amino acid is attached (by aminoacyl-tRNA synthetases). tRNAs cope with the degeneracy of the genetic code in two manners: having more than one tRNA (with a specific anti-codon) for a particular amino acid; and 'wobble' base-pairing, i.e. permitting non-standard base-pairing at the 3rd anti-codon position.
Source: RNAcentral